AAGGACUCUGUUUUCCCCAGGGAGAGCAGUGCUGUGGUGGUGCAGGAGGCAGCAGCCAGUGCAGAGCCUCCUGUGCAGGACAGAAGCCUUGAAGUCUCCUCUGAACUCCAGACAGGAGCUUCUCCCUCCAGUGCGAGUGAAGUGGAUGGGAGCCUGUGCAGCUUUGAAAUGAAUGAAAUCCUGGCCAGUUACCCAGAAGGUCUCCAAGACUUCCUGGAAGGAGGACCUGGGUCAGGCCAGGCUCUGAAGGAUGCAGAAAGGCAGCAAAAGGAAGAUCAGAGCCCGUGGGAGGGUGAGGAGGAAAGGGAAUCCUCAGGGUCCAGCACGGGGUUCACUGGAGAGGAGGAGGAGCUGGAAGAAGAGGAGAAGGAGGAGGAAGAAGAGGAGGGGGUGAGGGAAGCCUCUGGGCUGUCCCAGAUGAGAGGAGAUGCUGGCAGGAGGCUGAGCAGCUCCUCCCAGAGCGAGCAGCACAUCAGCAAAUGCGUCCUGAACCUCAAGAUCAUGCAGAGCAUGCUGCAGCAGGCAGGGCAGUCCCUGAGCAGGACAGAGGAGAGGCUGGACAGGCUGAAGGCCAUGGCAAAGCAGAAGAGGCUGCUCCAGGAAGUCAGGAUGAAUCUGCUUCCUAAGGAAAGUUCUCAGGGAAGACUCUGGGAAGGGGCUGAUGCUCCUUCCCAAAACACCAAGAAGGCUUUUUCUGGAGGUGAUGUUUUCUUACACCAGGCUGUGGCUCCACCGUCCAGGGACUACAUUCCACCUCCAAUAACGUGUCAGGCAGCAGGCAGAGACAGCUUCCAGGCUGUUCCCAAGAAAGCCAAGGGAAGAGAGGCAAUCCAGAAUGAGAAGUGGAAGAGAGAAAUUGCAGCCACCCAUCGUGAUCCGGGCUGCAGCGUGGGCAAAGGGCUGGAUGAUGAAGUGAGCCUAAACCAGGAGCAUCUCCUCCCACACGUGUCUGCAAGAUGCCAGGAGGAGUUCAACUUGCAGUGUCAGAGAGGAGCUGAUUCACACUCUGCAGCAAGAAGGGAAGAGGAGAAGUGGUGCCAUUCAGAACCAAGGGCUGAAUUCUGCAGCAAAAAAAACAGUGAGAAGAGGAG
Molecule: long non-coding RNA, 1091 nt
Filed under: Chloebia gouldiae (Gouldian finch)
Lineage: Eukaryota; Metazoa; Chordata; Aves; Passeriformes; Passeridae
Description: Erythrura gouldiae (Gouldian finch) lncRNA (ENSEGOG00005015891.1)
Source: RNAcentral